GUGAGGAAUAUUGCGCAAUGGAGGCAACUCUGACGCAGCCAUGCCGCGUGCAGGAAGAAGGCGCUACGCGUUGUAAACUGCUUUUAACCGGGAAGAAACCCCAGGACGUGUCCUGGGUUGACGGUACCGGAGGAAUAAGCACCGGCUAACUUCGUGCCAGCAGCCGCGGUCAUACGAAGGGUGCAAGCGUUAUCCGGAUUCAUUGGGUUUAAAGGGUGCGUAGGCGGAGCGUUAAGUCAGUGGUGAAAUCCUGCAGCUUAACUGUAGACUUGCCAUUGAUACUGGCGCUCUUGAGUGCGCUUGAAGUGGGCGGAAUGUGCCGUGUAGCGGUGAAAUGCUUAGAUAUGGCACAGAACACCAAUUGCGAAGGCAGCUCACUAAGGCGAUACUGACGCUGAGGCACGAAAGCGUGGGGAUCGAACAGGAUUAGAAACCCUGGUAGUCC
Molecule: ribosomal RNA, 445 nt
Filed under: uncultured bacterium
Lineage: Bacteria
Description: partial 16S ribosomal RNA
Rfam family: Bacterial small subunit ribosomal RNA
Source: RNAcentral